AUGUCCAAACACAAAACUCAAGAGAAUCACCAAAAGAUGAGGAAUCUAGUGAUCAGAGAGUUUAAGUUACUUUUCCAUGGUCACACAGCUGGUAUAUAUAAGAUGUGCAGUAUGAGUCCAAGUAUUCUUAAUUCCAAACCAAGCUCUAUCUACUACCCAAUACAACUUCAGUGAAGAGACCAAAAUGCUCAGAAAGCACUUUGGUCAGCACAUACUUAAUCUCCUGCCCACAUAUAGCAUCAAGGACAGUGCCAAUAUGAUGUAAGACCUCAUUUGUAAAACAUUAUCCAGGAGCACAAUAGUACACUUCAAGCAAUAUCUCCUCACUAAUAAUGAUCAAGAAAUUGUGGAGAGGAGAACGAGUCUGUAAGAAGUUUGGUGCAAGAGAACUAUCCAGAGAACAAACAAAAGGGGCAAACGAAUAGAAAAGAAAUGGAACAGAUCAGUGAAGUUUCUACAAUCUUCAAUUUUCACCACAGAGAAUUUCACAAUCUAGGACUCAUUGUGAGAAAGUGAAAAAGGCAUUUAUGAAGGUGAAGCUGGACCUGAUGAAGAAAUCUCUGCUGAAUGCAGAACAUUUUCAAAAGUCAUUUAGAGAAUAUUUUUGGACAUAUUUUAAAAAGUAAAUAGCACAUGAGAAAUUUCACAUUUCCCAAUAGCAUGUAGAACUAUUUCUUGACACCAUACUCUAGAGCUGUUUCUUUACCUAAUGCCAUCAUUUCAACAGCAGUAGUCUCUUGGUGAUGCAGUGGCCACAAACCAUGAAAAACACUCCAAUCUGAUAAGCAUCCAGAUUGUAAGUAAUCCAAAGAGUAAUGGAGAGAUGAAUGGCAGCUAUAAAAUGGGAAUGAUAAAAGCAUUUAUCUCCCAGGGUUGAUGUCAGGAAAAAAUGACAUAAUAUUUGUAAAAUACUUUGCAAACUUUAAAAUGCCAUGUAAAUGUUAGCUGUAGCACAUGAUAAGGCAGCUGGGUGGCACAGUGGAUGGAAUGCCAGGUCCGGAGUCAGGAAGACUCCUUUUCCUGAGGUUCAAAUGAGGUUUAGACAUUUCCUAGCUGGUGACCCUGGUCAGGUUAUGUAACCCUGUUUGUCUCAAUUCUUCAUGUUUAAGAUGAACAAGAGAAAGAAAUGGCAAACCACUCCAGUAUCUUUGCCAAGAAAACUCUAAAUGGGGUC
RNAcentral lists this long non-coding RNA (1174 nucleotides) under Monodelphis domestica (gray short-tailed opossum). RNAcentral's name for it is "lncRNA (ENSMODG00000042934.1)". Lineage: Eukaryota; Metazoa; Chordata; Mammalia; Didelphimorphia; Didelphidae. The record is from RNAcentral.